UGGCCGUGCUGUGAGGAGGAAGGGACUGGAGGUUGUGCAAGGGACAGAAAGGGUCAGACAUUGUACAAGGGACAGACAGGGUUAGGUGGUCGUGCCAGGGACAGGAAGGAGCGAGUUGGAACUGCAGAAAGAAGAGAGAAAGAGCCAGAGCUUUGUGGAGCUGCUCAUGGGACUGCAACAUAGAAAAGGUUUGUGUCAAAGAGGGCUCUGCCACAGCACUGCCAAAACUGCUUCCAAUUAGUCCCAGAUCAACUGCAGCUGGAGCAAAAGGCUGAAAGGAUUACAGCAGAAAUAUUUAAGGCUCCUCCCCUUCUGGGAUGUGCCUGAGCCCAGCUCUGUACCUGUGAUGAAGAUGGGGUGAUGCCCAACUUUCUGUGCCUGGAGUGGCUAUCAGAACACUGUGGCCAAGGACUAAGGAGGGCAGGAUGAGCUCAGCCUGUCCCAGCUCUUGCAGGAGCUCUGCAAAUCUCUGACCUAUCCUGGGACUGCAGGAAAAUGCUCCAGUGACUGCACCAGAUCCCUACAGCAACCUGGCUGUCUCCUUCCCUGAAGAUGCUGCUCGUAUGGUUGGGAGACAGAGCUCACACUCAGCAUCAGCUUUCUGCCCGUGGCCCCACUUCUCAUCCCACAGUGAUUUGUGUAACUGCUGGUGGGUGCUGGUAGUCACACUCCAGAGGUGAUCUGCGAGAUGCUGCCCGUGAAGACACGGGGGACGACUUGUCAGUGCUGAGACAGCAACUCCAGAGAACGCGCCCAGCUGCUCUUACCGCUGUUUGGAGAGCAAAGUUUUUCUUCAACCUUUUCUUACAAAACGUGAAGCACAAAAACUGCACGUGCCCCUCCUGCCUGGCCUGCGAGAGGAAACCUUGUGCUCCCUCCAAAAAGCCAUCAGACGUCAAAUUUGUGAGUUUCCACGAAAAUGCAUCAAUGCAUUUCUGUACUGGCUUAAGAGACUGAGGACGGGAGAGAGGAAAAUGACAAGACUGUUUGCUCCUGCUUUGCCGGACAGUUGCAGACAAGACACUCAUCAGUCUUGUGUCAACGCUGGAUCUGGGCCAUAGUUGCAGGAAUCGCGCUAAGUGCUGAUUUUGUUGUUUGUUAUCCUUAGCUUUUGGUAAUUUACAAAUCUCUGAGCUUCUAAGAGACGGGGCUGCCCACAGCCUGCUUCAGCACUGCUGGAGCAACUGCUUCAGAACAAGAAGCCAAAAAAAAGCACCGGGGAAUAGCAGCAGUGAAGAAGUGUGAUUUCUGCUGCUGCCGUUCUGAAGACAUGGCACAGAGCGCCCUGCCUGGGAAACCCUCUGCCUUCCCACCACCCGACAUCUCCCCACGGAUACAGAAUGAUGGCAGGCAGGUUGUGCUGGUACCCAAAAGGCCAGUUCAGCACUCAGGCGGGGAAGGGCUCCCAAGGCUCUCUCAGCGCGCUGCAAAGCUGUUCCAACACAUUUGGGAGAGAGAGAGAGGGAGGAACAGGCACCCACCCAUGGGUUGGGAGAACCGCUGCCGGAAUACACCGGGGGAGGAAGGCGAGGCCACGAGGAAAGGCAGCCCCACACUCCAGCACCUCGGCUCGGUGUGUCCCGUGUAGGCACGGGAGGGGACGCAAGUGCACAGCCCGCUUCCCUGACACAGCGAUUGCCAUGGAGAGGCGAUUCGAAACAGCUCGGAGAGGAGACAAACUUGUUGUUCAAUCACCUGUGAAGCCGCAUGCUGGCGGGAAUGAUUUAUGAAUGUUUCGGUGAAAUUCGUUUUGAAACAAUCACAGCCAAGGAUAUUUAAGAGCUGGACUCUGCAGCCCAAGAGCUCCAAAAUGAAACAGAACGGCAUUUUUGUUUGCCCACGUUGCGAACAACACUGAAUACUAAUAGCUUUAGCACUGACUAAUCAGAUUCUUUUUUUUAACCUAAAAUCAGGAUUUUAUGCACAGCCUGUCAAGCUGAUAUCCGUCAAUUAAAAAUGCAGCUGCUAACCUGGUCAGCACAAGCAACUCUGUAUCACGCUGUUAGCAUUCCAGGCGCACAAACAGUUGCUGCUCAGUUGGGACCCAUUUCUGGGUUAGACUAUUCUGAUCUGCGGAAAUAACAGUGGGACGAAAAAAGGAGUGAGAAUACAACCCCGCAGCCCGACAAAUUUGGGUCACACAGAGAAUCCGCUAAUCCCACAGCUCAGCGAGCAGGGAGACAAACCCAAAUUCCUCUGGCGGUGAUUCCACGGCUACCUCGGUUUAGGAUGAGCUGAGCCCCAGGCUGGCUCCAGGGCUUUCUACCUGCAGCAUCGCACAUCUUAAACGCCGCUGUAACACACUCACCGGAAGGCAGACUCUGCGCUCCGAGACGCGUCUGGCACCAGCACCGUCACCUAACGCAGGGCUCCAGCCGCCCUACCUGCGGGUACCGCUGCGGGACCGGCCCCAGCGCCAACGGCGGGAGCCGGGACAGGGGGGCCGGAGGCGGGCAGAGCUCAAGCAGGCACAGAACAUGUAAUCCGGAGGAUCUCAGAGCCCCUCAGAGGCACUAAUCAAUUACCCUUGGUGCCCUGGGCAGGCGUAGCAGGGAGUGGUGCUGAACAUCCGACAAUCAAAACAGACUCUUACUGCUGGAUCAUAAUAUAACAAGCAGCUUUCGUGCCCAGACAGAAUUCCCACCGGUGUCAAAGGUUUUAUUUCCACUGAGGAGCUGCCCCUUUAGGUAUUGGAAGGUGUAUUAAGGUCUCCCUGGAUCCUCUUCCCUCUGGUCACCUUCAUGGCCCUCCUCUGGCCCUGUUCCAGCAGGUCCCUGCCCCUCCUGUGCUGAGGACCCCAGAGCUGCACAGAGUGUUCCAGCUGCCGCUUCCCUGGCUCCAUGCAGAGCACCACCAGCUUUGAUUUGUGUGUCUUUAAGCUGUUGCAUGUCUGGUGUCGUGAGCAGAGCACCAGAGCCCAGGCUGGUGGGGUGCCACGAUGCUCUUUCCAGCUGUUAGACCCAACUCUCACCACAAUUCUUCCAGCUCUCCGUGGCCUGGGACAGUGCUUGGCCCCUUGCUGGUGGUUGCAUGAAGACUUUAAAUGGUCUGCGUGUCUGGAAUGUUCGUGUGUGUUGUGACUCCUCGGAAAAGCUCAGGGCUUUGAGCCUACUGUCUUCCAGCUGCAACGUCUACCGUGCCUACUCCUCCCAUCCCUGGUGGGAGUGUUUGCUACAUCAAAGCCCAGUUUGUGCUGCCAGCGGAUGAUUUCUCUGGUAUAUUUACACUUGUAAAGGAAGAUUUUUUUUUUUUCCCCCUCUUGUAAGUAUCACAGCACUUCUGUCGCUUCUGUGCUGGCCCAUCUGUGCACCAUUUUCACUUGUACUGAUUCAUGUUCACAGAGUAGUAAGAACUGUCUGUAAGUGUUUGAAUUUCUUAGUUACAGUGGCCUCAUUUUGCUUUCCUGGUUAUCUCAGAGGCAGAUGUGUGCUGGGGUUUCUUUUUCUUAAUGACACCUCUGGACUCUGUCGCAUUGGUAAAAAUCUUAAUGAAGUAAUUUUCACUUUUCUGUUCAGAUUUUUCAAGACUUCCUGAGUUUCUAGAGUUUGUUCUCUGCAGCCAGAUGUGCUUUCUGCCUGUUUUCUGCACGGCCAGAAAUCACUGGGUUUGCACCCCCUCUGAAAGUGGGUACAGCAUCUUUAGCCUGUCAUAAGGUUUCAACGUCAGAUAUUCCUGAAGAAGGGAACUUUAGGUUGUUCAUGCAGGUUGCAUUCAUUGUGCUGUGUUCUUUAUCAUGAGUGAGCAUGUACUCGUUUUCUCCACUUCUGCCUCAUUGUGGAACAGACCUCUGUAGAGACACCUCUGGCUGUUUUCAGAGCAGACAGAAGCUAUUUACUGAACCACUCUUGAACAUUUUGACUUGUCUUUGCUGCUCCACAUGCACCCAGGGUUGUCUUCACUGCCUACAGGUCAGACUUGUCUCUGUGGCCAGGCUCACCACAGGCUCUUUUCAGUAGCUGCUUCUCCUGUGUUCACUGUGUCCUGCUCAGCUUGACCUGCCUCCAGCUCUCUUCUGGUGCCUCAAAGAAUCUACAAAAAGGACAUGUUUGCAGUGAAAGCUCUACCAGGCCCUGCAGCUGCAGAAGAAGUGUCCUUGUCCUCUGCUGGAUUCUGUGUGCCUCCCCUCACUGGUGUGUCUGUGGGGCAGCAAGCUUGCUCAGCACUGAGGGUAGUCAGAGUAAAAUAUAUAUAUGUGCAUGUGUGUAUGCAUGUACAUACCUAUACAUGUUUUUAUAUAUUUAAAUCUGAGGCUGAAAACAGCCAAAUUGUGAUCCUUCUCUCCCCCUCUGAAUAUGAAGAGAUGUGGUUCACAGCAUUUGUCUGCCAGUAUUUCAAGGUGCUGCUUUUAGAAGCGUGGAGCUGUGAGAACAUUUCAGUAAAUUACAAAAAUGACACUUUUAACAGGGGCAAAAGAGAGUAUUUUUCCUUAUAUAUAUUCUUGGGAGAGACACAAGCCAUUUCAGCCAAAAUCAGAGUUUAGCCCAAGGCUGAAUCCAGCUGGAUAAAUUUUCAGCCUAAACAAUUAAUUAUAGAUGAAGUUAUGAGCAACCAAAACUGGAGUUUAUACAGCAGUCACAUGUGAUUACAGCAGCACUUUCAACUCUGGAACACUGGCACGGGUGUCAGUGCAGGUUCUUGGGUGACUCCCUCAGGAAGGGCUUGCAGAGCUGUGAAACCCUGGCUUGCCUUUUUGAGGGAAUUGGAGCGAACAUUUCACAUCAGAAAUAAUCUGCUGCUGGAAGAUGAAUUAACUGGUGGCUUUCAGAGCAGUCUUGUCUGUAUUUGGAGUUUACCCAGGGCCAGGUUUACCCGGGCUAUUAUGUUCCUGCUGCACGUGGGAGGGUGUGAUGAAGAGGGAGCCUCCUAUGACAGGGAACAGCUCAGGCAUGAGGAACUGGGAUGGCAGAGAUUAAUGGGGCUGCAUCCUGCUAGCAGUGUCUCCAUCUGAGCAAGGCUUCCCUGGGAAACCACAAAGUAACCUCCUGGUGAUGGAGGUUGUCUGCUGUAAAAGAAGCUCCUUGCUUAGCAGGGAGAACGCACCGAGACUGCACGUGUGUCCUGAAUGAAUGAUUCCUCAUGGAGAUGCUCACGCCGCACACAAACACGUUUUAGAGGCUUGUGCAUGGGGAGAUAUUCUUGACUCUGGCUGCUAAAUUGAGCUGCUUGUGAACCCUUUCAGCAGUAGAGGUAGUGCUGACAAAUAGUCGUCUUUUGUGAUGAAAGGAGCGCAGGUGAGAGGAAAUUUUGUGGGAGGAGAUCCUGCUCUGAAUUUCUUCUGGAAACCAUAAUUAUGUGAUUCAGAGUAGAAAGGUACGAGGCUUUCCAGUGAAAGCUAUGAAAAACACUUAGGGAAGCAGCCUAGAGAUGAGGCUGCUCAUUCAGACCUUAUCUAUUCAUGUGGGAGCGAGGAAAUCUUAGCACUCUGCCUUAUCUCCUCUCCCCCAGGAGAUCAGUGUAGAGAGAGCCUGACCUCUCGCUUACCGUUUCAAAUCAAACCCGGUGUAAUAGUGGCUUUGGCCAUGCCGUGCCUCAGUCACUUAAUGAAAUAAUCUUUUUUCCUUGCCCUUCUGGGCAGAAAUAUGUCCUGCCCAAACACCACUUAAGUGAUACCUGGAAGAUAGCUGUAACUGAGCUGUGGCAGAAACAUCGUCCCUAACUCCCCACAGGCUUUUCCUGCAGGUGCAGGGCUUGGGGUGUUCCAGGCAGUGGAAGUUUGUGUCUCUCACUGGGGCAGUUCCUGUGUUGUUUAUGAAGAGGAUCCCUGUUUUCCCUUGCUCCCGGGCUUCUGCAGCUCCCUGCGGGUUUAAAUUGACUUUGAUUCAAUGUUUAUUAAAAGCAGUCAGCGCGAGGAGAGUCUCAGAUCUGGAAUGGAUGUUCUCCAAGAACAAGAGCACCUCGGUGCCAGCUCAGGGUUAUCCAUACAAACAGCUCCCAGCCAGAGCCAGCCAGGAUCUGUUUUGCUUUCUCACACUUGGAGCCGGUAUAUUUUAAAGGAUAUCGAGCAGUAAAUGCGGCAAAGGGGAAAAAUUGUUACAGACUGUAUUUGGCAGAAACCCAGCAAAGAUAAAAUACCAUACGUUCUGUGCAAUGAGCUCCUACAUAAAUGAUUCAUUCACUAGAACACAGCUGGGGUCAAUGUCUUCUAUUUGAAUAGCCCAAAGUUAUGCAAAUAUUUUACGUGGAUUUUUCUAAAAAAGAGGGGAAAAGGACAAUAUAUAAUGUUCCAAUAAAAAAGCUCUUUAUCUAAGUAACUUUUAAGAAUCAAAAUCCCACAAGAACAGUGCCGCCGUGUUAUACACGUAUAUACAGCAGCGAAUGACAAGAUAUGCCCUAGAGAUGCAAACUCUGAAAAGAUUGCUUGUUUUCCUUUGUUUUGCCAGCCAAGUCUGUGUUACAAAUUCUGUGUUGUGGAGAUCACACUAUUUCAAAGUAUCAAAUUGCUAAUUAAAGAAACUACUCAAGGAAACUUUCCAGUAGAACAAUAUAUGCUGUGGGAUAAUAGUAGUCACUAUUUCUUUAAUGAGUUUCUUCCCUUACCAGAAUUUCUUACAAGACAUUCAGUGCAGCCAUUCAGUUAGAUUAUUAUGAAUCACAUGUGUAUUAUUUCUGAUUUGGUAUUAACAUAAAAACUUCUGAUGAACCGUAGUAUUACGAAAACAGGUCUAGUGUAUGGAAAGGCAAUAUCAUUCCUGCUGAUAAAAGACUGGAAAUGGAGG
This is a long non-coding RNA of Hirundo rustica (Barn swallow), 6716 nucleotides long. RefSeq lists it as uncharacterized. Lineage: Eukaryota; Metazoa; Chordata; Aves; Passeriformes; Hirundinidae. The record is from RefSeq and is a predicted model, not a curated record. The transcript is spliced from 9 exons.